UUUAAAUAAUUACAAUAAUAACACGCUAAUAUUUUAUUCAACAAAAAUAAUUGUUUUCGAAGAUUCAAACAUGAUUUCUCUAUGAACUUGAAUCAAAUUAAACAACGUAUCAUUUUUAAUUGUUCUGAAUCAUAACAUUUUCUUGUAUUUCUGAAAUUUAUUGCAAAGCUAACCAUAUUUCAAAUGCUAUGGAUUGAUUUCUUGUCAUUUCAGAAUUAUUUAUAUCCUUUGUAGGUUCAACAUGUUGCGAUUUAAAGUCAAUUUUCCGGGUCAGUGAAGAAAACACGUAUGGGUGUGAAUAAAUAACGAACCAAUAAUCGGUAUUUGACGCAGAUGGUUUUUAACUUAUUAUUGUUUAUAGGUACCUGUUAUUUACUAUCUUAAUGUAAAUUAACGUAAUUAUUGAGUAAUAUGAAGUGAACAGAAAAAAAUGAAUAAUUACACCAUUUAUUGUAAACUGAGGAAUUCAAUAAGAUGACAAUAAAAUAUAUUUUUGUUAACAAGCUGAACAAAGUGAUGAUUGUUGGGUCAGAAAAAUUUUUAAUAAAAAAAUAUGAAUAAUAUGACAUAUUUCACUUUUGGUUGUUGCGACAAAGAAGCCGUACGAACUGUUUGUUUUGAUUUAAUUAUUUACAUUUCACUCUAUGGAACAAUGGUUAUUACACUUUAAUUAGACACAUGUUAUAUAAUUCACCUAGUCGGUUCGCUUUCCUACUUUUUGUUUCUAAAUGUUGCAUUCAAUUAUGAAAUACUGUCGGAAUUUGCUUAAAAUUUUUAUUUUUUAAUUUUAAUUUUAAUUCUUCAUGUGUAGUUUCUUCACACAAAUACAUUGGACUGGCCUUUUUGAUGAUAUUGAGUAUCAUUAUUUGCCUUUUUACUUCUGUCAAAGGUAAAAUAUGACUCGUCAAUAAUGAUCUCCAAACAUUUAAUGCGCGAAAACCCGUUGGCAUUAAGACUUAUAAGUUUCGAUUUUUGUUCCAUUUGUUGCUUCUCAAUAUAUUUGGGUGCGAUUUUCUCCAUUAUUAAGUUCCUUUAGAAUGUUGCUUACAGAUUUCUUAGCAAUUUUGAAUUUUCUGCUCAAGUUUCGCAAACUGACUCAGUUUUUCGUGACCGCUUUAACCAAAACUUUUCUUUUCUUUCUAGUAAUUUUUUCGCUUAUGAGCCUGACCCUGACUUUCUUUCAAUUCAAAUACCUAUCUAAACAUGCCAACAGAUAGGUAUCGUGAAUUGUUUCUCUGGCUAUUCCCAUUCUUACAAAGUGAUUCACUAUAAAAUUUUUACUUUUUCACGUCGUUCGUUUUCUAUUAGAUUUCCUAUACUUCAAACUAAACUUUUAACAUUCUAAUAUUUAUAUUUGGGAUAUCUAAAACUGCCAAAUCGCGAAAAUUUUUUUUAAAUCAGAAACUUGGAUUUGUUAUAAAAAAAUUCAUACUCUAUUAUUAAUUUGUUGUAAAGCUGCCGAAAAUAUUUUCUUUGAAUAUUUGAUUACCAGAUAGACCAGAGGCUUUUCAUUAUUUUAUUAUGUAAUACAGCAAUAAAAAACAUGAAGGGAGAUAAAAAAACUAUUUUUCAGUGGCUUUGCUGCACGUGGCGAAGUAAGCUCACGGUCUCCCAUUAAAAGGGUGUUCGAGAGGCAUUUUUAUAUACAAUCUAAAUAGUUGGCAAUAGGAUAAUAUUAGUAUUAGUAUAAUAGUAAAAUAGAGAUAGAAAUACAUUUCUGAACCUAAAAUAGGUAAUACAAAGCAUCACUCCUAAUUUUACGCUCAAGAAAGAAACGAUAGACUUUCACUCAAAGAAACUUUAAACAAUUGACUUAAGAGAGUAAGCCAUUUGCAAGAAAUUUUGUUAUGAAUUUCUUGAGACAAACUAAUAUAGGUUUUUCUGUCGAUGAACUGCUUGAAACCUUCUUCUAUUUCAUCUGUAAACAGUGACGAAUCCUACUGCGAAUAGCUCCAAAGGUACUGAAUACAUCGUUUACGCUACCACAGAGACUGAAAGUAGUUUCCUUUAGUCUUCGAAGAAGAUACUUGGUGAUCAAAACGCGCGUCAGACAAUGUAAUCCUGAAUGUAGUAGUGGUGCACAUUGCAAUAUGAAGAACUUAUUUCAGUAUGUCAUCUACCUAUGUUGCUGUUUGGAACUAUUUGGAGUAGGGUUUCUUUUCACAAUGAAUUAACGCCACUUCGUCAUCAUAUACAGUCGAAAUAAAGGUUUCAAGAAGUUUACCGACAGCAAAUCCUGUUUUAGCUCGUCGUAAACCAAGUGACCCAGUUGUUCAGCAAUCUGUAUUGUUUAACAUAAUUUUUGUCAAUAAUAUUUAUUGACUUCUCUUAAAACAACCCAUAUACCGAAGUUUGCCAUGAGACUGUUUUUAACUUCGCCUAUCUUUGGUCAAUUCUCUCUAUCUUCUUACGUCUAUCAUUAUUUUGUCCUUCCGUAGUAAGUACUAAUCAAACUACAUAUACUACAUAGAAUAAUCCAUAUCUUCAAUUUAAUUCGCUUCUACAACUUAUAUUGAAGUGUUGCUGAAUAUACAAAUAUGCUUUUUACAGUGAUGUUUGAAAUUUCCUCUACUUAUUUAUCCUGGCGGAAGGCAAAUAAUUCCUCCACAUAUUUGCCAAUUAAAAAACUGCUGCACUCUACAAGUCAAAAAGCAAGGAUAGUUAGUUCAAUUGCUUAAAUUAAUUCAGAUGAUAAUGAGAAUUGGAUUAGAAAAGCUCUUGAACAGAAUGGAGUGUCACUUUGAGAUACCUAUAAAACUGAUUGCUCUAGCAACUGCCUUUAAACUAUUAAGAUAUUAUUUAAAAAAAAAACAAUUUUUGUACUAUGAGAAACAGAUAUAGAAUAAUGAGUAUACUAAAUCCCAAAGUUAUGUUAAAAUUAAUGAUGCUCCAAAUUAUCCAGAUGGUGGAUGGUAGAGAUGGAUGGUGAAAAUUGAGUUUGUAUCUCAAUUUUAAAGGUAACUGUUUUUUAUAAUGGACAUUAUUUUCUUUAUGAUAAUAUUUUCAAUGCCUUCUCAGCUAAUUUCUCGAAAUGUUAGUUUCUUGUCGAAGAACAUUGAUGUUAAUAUUAUAUGUAAGUUUAUGGCGGGUAUUUCCUAAAAUAUUUUUUUUUAGUAUAGCAAGCUGAUUGGUUCAAAUCUGACAAUAUAUCCAUCGUCCCCAAGAAUAAAUCAAAUCUUAUUUUUCUAAAUAUAUCUGAAGAAAACUGUGAAAUAUAAUCUUCAAUAUUAUAUUCAAUAUUAUAAUUUGAAAUUAAUUUUUUUUCACAUCACAACUGUGUAUAAAACAUUUUGAACGUUUCAAUUAUGAAAUUUUUAAAUCAAAACAAUUUGCGAUGAUUUAAAUCAAGGACGAUGAAAUUCCAAAAUGCGAUCACACGUAGAUGAAAUAAAAUUAACGAAGUGACGUCAGAGAAAUAAUUAAAUAACAUUAGCAUAAACUAUCUAGUAUGCAAAAGUGUGGAAUAAAAUGGAAUACUUUCAACAUUGUAAUAUAUCAAUUUUAUACUGGAGCUAGGCCAUAAAUAUAUUAUUUAGAGUCUACAUACAAAUCCUCGUUUUCGAAUUAUAAACCUCCAAAGUCAUUUGAUCUUUAUAAAAUUUUCGGCAAGUGUAAAAUGUAUAUUAUGUUUAUAUGGUAUAAUAACCAGAUUUUUAUUAUACUUAUCUCAAAAUACCUUGUUUUCAUCAGUUUUUACAAAGACGUAAAGGUAGCAUUCUCAGAACAACGCACGGAAAAUUUUUCCCGAUCUCCGAUUUUCAAUUUUAACAAAAUUGAGUUAAAUUAAUUAUAAGAAAAACAUAAUUUUUAUUUGUAACACUUUUGUUACUUUUGUAACAUUGUUGUUGUUAGUCCCUUUCAUUCUUUAGAACUAAAGAUGUUGAAGUAGAUGGUUCACAGACGUUUUGAUUUUCCUGAUGGAAUAUCGCAGAGCGUAUUUUGCAAGUGAAAAGCCUUAUCGAUUCUUCUAUGUAUCCAUCUGCUACGCUAAAAGAACGCCACCUUCGUGUCAGCUAUGUCCUUUAUAUUCUUCGGAAUUUUUCAAUUCAAGGUAUUUUGCAACAAGGACAUGCGGGACAGCGCAUCCAACAUGUUAGGCAUAACACCUAACGACAUACAACAAAUAAUCUUCUGGUGAUAAUAUUUUUAGGCCGUAUAUCUGCACUUUUGCCAAUAGACAUUGUGCAUCUGCAACUUCGCAUACAAAUGUAAUCACAUGUUCUGCCGUUAGUAUCUUGGACCUGUUUAUAACCAUAAGCAAUAAUUUUUUUUGGAUAUUUUAUGUUACCAGCAAUUUCUUUUAUAGCUAACCAAAUCAUUAGUAUUGAGGACCGACUGCAUAACGUGGAAAAUUUAGAAAGUUCAUACUCGUGUUCAUACCUCGACCAGGAUUUUGCUGGAAACAAAUCAGAAAAUAAAACAAUAUAAAUCAUGUUUGGUACUAUUACGAUGUAUUAUGAUUACUUUGGAAAUAAAAUCUUUUAAAAUUAAUUCUUCUAACUAAAACCUGAAGUGAAAAAGUUUAUAUCGAGUAACUACUGAUAUCUUUUGGCUUAUAAUAUACGCUCCAGCUAGUUUUGGCACAUUCUGUACAUGCUUCUUCAAUUAAAAUGAAUUUCCAUUCUACAUAUUUCAAAAAA
This is a long non-coding RNA of Diorhabda carinulata, 4640 nucleotides long. RefSeq lists it as uncharacterized. NCBI's taxonomy places the organism in Eukaryota, Metazoa, Arthropoda, Insecta, Coleoptera, Chrysomelidae. The transcript is spliced from 2 exons. The record is from RefSeq and is a predicted model, not a curated record.